AGACAGUGAAAUAGGUGGCUUAUCUAGUGGAAAAGAGUACAAGUUGGACCGUGAACUGGAUGAAGACUUUCGUGACUCUGACUCCGACGACGACUAGCUGCUGCUACGGCGACAACAACACAGAAAGCCUAAUGACAUUUAAACUCAACAUUCUCCUGGUUCUGCCACCGACUCAGAGGAGGAUGACCCUGACCCUUGAACCUGAAAGGACCAGAAGGAAUGCCAGAGCGACC
This is a long non-coding RNA of Sardina pilchardus (European sardine), 233 nucleotides long. RefSeq lists it as uncharacterized. The record is from RefSeq and is a predicted model, not a curated record. The transcript is spliced from 3 exons. Lineage: Eukaryota; Metazoa; Chordata; Actinopteri; Clupeiformes; Clupeidae.